Molecule: long non-coding RNA, 564 nt
Filed under: Salvator merianae (Argentine black and white tegu)
Lineage: Eukaryota; Metazoa; Chordata; Lepidosauria; Squamata; Teiidae
Description: lncRNA (ENSSMRG00000017358.1)
Source: RNAcentral
AUUUGCUGAACUGCACUUGCUGCAAGCUUAUCAAUAUUAAUUGAGGUGGGCUGCAAUGGGGAGGAGGGAUUAGUAUGACCUUUCUAAAACCCAUGCUGGCUCAGAUAGUCAAAAAGCAGCCAACGGGAGAGAAACGGAGCAGGAUCCAUCAUGUCUGACAAACCGGAUUUUGCAGAAAUUGAAACGUUUGAUAAGACCAAACUGAAAAAGACUGAAACCAAAGAGAAGAAUUCACUGCCUACUAAGGAAACCAUUGAACAGGAAAAACAAAGCAAAAACACACCCUGAUGUUGAAUCAGAAGAUAUGGCNGACAUCUCCUGCAGUGGGACUUUAAAUUUUAUUAUUUUAACUUUGUUUUUAGUUAGUUGGGUGUUCCCUUUUCAAAGAUAGCAGGGAUCUUUUAAGUCAAAUGUCCUAAAAUCAAUCACAUCAACUUUUGUAAGUACCCAAAGGGACUACAACCUACUAAAAAAAGUGCACUUUUGUUGUCUGUUAAUUGAAAACAUUAUUUUCAUAUUAUAGUAAGUGAUGUAGAACUGCACAAUAAAUCAUGUUCUCUUGUG